This 407-nucleotide ribosomal RNA is filed under the name uncultured bacterium. Its description in RNAcentral is "bacterial SSU rRNA". It matches the Rfam family "Bacterial small subunit ribosomal RNA", at positions 360 to 775 of the family's 1533-position model. The record is from RNAcentral.
AAUAUUGCACAAUGGGCGAAAGCCUGAUGCAGCGACGCCGCGUGAGGGAUGACGGCCUUCGGGUUGUAAACCUCUUUCAGUAGGGAAGAAGCCUUUCGGGGUGACGGUACCUGCAGAAGAAGCGCCGGCUAACUACGUGCCAGCAGCCGCGGUAAUACGUAGGGCGCAAGCGUUGUCCGGAAUUAUUGGGCGUAAAGAGCUCGUAGGCGGCUUGUCGCGUCUGCUGUGAAAACGCAAGGCUUAACCUUGCGCCUGCAGUGGGUACGGGCAGGCUAGAGUGCGGUAGGGGAGACUGGAAUUCCUGGUGUAGCGGUGGAAUGCGCAGAUAUCAGGAGGAACACCGGUGGCGAAGGCGGGUCUCUGGGCCGUUACUGACGCUGAGGAGCGAAAGCAUGGGGAGCGAACAG